This 812-nucleotide ribosomal RNA is filed under the name uncultured organism. Its description in RNAcentral is "bacterial SSU rRNA". It matches the Rfam family "Bacterial small subunit ribosomal RNA", at positions 504 to 1333 of the family's 1533-position model. The record is from RNAcentral.
CGUGCCAGCAGCCGCGGUAAGACGUAGGACGCAAGCGUUAUCCGGAUUUACUGGGCGUAAAGCGCCUGUAGGCGGUCAAGUAAGUCGGAUGUGAAAGCCCCGUGCUCAACGCGGGGAAGCCAUUCGAUACUGCGUGACUAGAGAACGGCAGAGGGAAACGGAAUUUCUGGUGUAGCGGUAAAAUGCGCAGAGAUCAGAAAGAACACCGAUGGCGAAGGCAGUUUCCUAGGCCGCAUCUGACGCUGAGAGGCGAAAGCUAGGGGAGCGAACAGGAUUAGAGACCCUGGUAGUCCUAGCUGUAAACGAUGGAUGCUAGGUGUGGGCCGGAAAGGUCCGUGCCGGAGUUAACGCGAUAAGCAUCCCGCCUGGGGAGUACGGCCGCAAGGCUAAAACUCAAACGAAUUGACGGGGACCCGCACAAGCAGCGGAGCGUGUGGUUUAAUUCGAUGCUACACGCAGAACCUUACCUGGGCUUGACAUGUAGGUGGUAGUGAAGUGAAAGCGGAGCGACCCUUCGGGGAGCCUACACAGGUGCUGCAUGGCUGUCGUCAGCUCGUGCCGUGAGGUGUCGGGUUAAGUCCCGUAACGAGCGCAACCCUUGCCCUUAGUUACAAGUGUCUAAGGAGACUGCCGGUGACAAACCGGAGGAAGGUGGGGAUGACGUCAAGUCAGCAUGGCCCUUAUGUCCAGGGCGACACACACGCUACAAUGGUCGGUACAAUGGGCAGCGCAGCCGCGAGGUGAAGCGAAUCCCAACAAAGCCGAUCCCAGUUCGGAUUGCAGGCUGCAACCCGCCUGCAGAAGCCGGAGUU